GUCCGAUAAACUAUCAACACAGUUAAAACCAGUUAUCAAACAAAAAUCUCUCAAGGAAAAAAUUAAUUUUUGUCCAUUUAAAAGAACAGAAAAGUAGUCGUCAGUAGACUUUGAUAACUCAUAAUUCAUUAGAAGAUGAAUUUAUUAGUUCUGCAUGCAGAUUGGGGGCAUAUCUAAUAAAUAACCAAAACAUAUUUUCUUAAAACCACUUAAUUGGGUUGGGGAUAAUAAAGACUUUAUCUUGCUAGGUAUCGUUGGAUCGCACAUGCUAUGGAACCGUAUCAUACCAUAAUCAACAUUAUGUUGAGCAUAGUAAGGUUCAUUCU
This 326-nucleotide long non-coding RNA is filed under the name Nicotiana benthamiana. RNAcentral's name for it is "long non-coding RNA (NBEN_LNC007905)". The record is from RNAcentral. Lineage: Eukaryota; Viridiplantae; Streptophyta; Magnoliopsida; Solanales; Solanaceae.